Perognathus longimembris pacificus (Pacific pocket mouse) is the source of this 600-nucleotide long non-coding RNA. RefSeq lists it as uncharacterized. The transcript is spliced from 3 exons. The record is from RefSeq and is a predicted model, not a curated record. NCBI's taxonomy places the organism in Eukaryota, Metazoa, Chordata, Mammalia, Rodentia, Heteromyidae.
CUGUUGUGAUGAUUAAAUGUUAGCUGCUGCACACAUAGUUUGCUCCUGCAUUCCAGUGCCCUAAACCUGUCACUAACAGAAAUCUGAUCUGACAUUCAAGACCCUGCGUGCAACAAUCCUAAAUAAUCUUUCUAGCUUUAUUUCCUACUUCUUGUCUUAUGCAUUUCUCCCCUACUGACUGAAUCACUACCACAGACAUAUUGAUCUCCACCUCUAACCCUUGACCAUUCAGGCUCUUCAAUUUUAUGUUCCUCUUUCCUGCCUAACACCAUCUGUCAAAGAUUCUAUUCUGUUUUUAAGACCUGGCUUCUUAUCCCUCCACAAAGUAUUUCCUGACUUCACAGUCCAAAUAAAUUGCUUCUGUCUCAAUUCAUAGUUCUAUUAUGACACUCUUCAAAUCAAGCUGUACAUAUGCAGUGUACAACUUUUCCUUUUUUCAGAUAUAAAUUUUUCUUCUCUUUUUAAAAAUAAAUGUUCUGGGGACAUAGUCUUAGUGAUCAGAUCCUAUAGCUUGUUCAGAGAGGCACAUAAUAGGAAUUCAAGUAUUGUGAAAAAAAUCACCUGGAAUUUUAACAUCUAAUCAACCAAAUAGUUACAUAG